UGGAGUGUGACAAUGGUGUUUGUGUCCAGUCUAUCAAACGCCAUUAUCACACUAAAUA
This 58-nucleotide microRNA precursor is filed under the name Ornithorhynchus anatinus (platypus). Its description in RNAcentral is "Oan-Mir-122_pre stem-loop". RNAcentral also lists the same sequence under 3 other names. Lineage: Eukaryota; Metazoa; Chordata; Mammalia; Monotremata; Ornithorhynchidae. The record is from RNAcentral.